UGAUAGUCUUUAGCUCACGUAGCAGCAUGGAUGAGGGAGGGAUGCUAGUUGAGAGAACCAACAAUCCAAGAAAAAGGAAGCGUAAUGAAAAAUAAUGGGCCAAAAACCAGAACAAGGAAGAUCAUAACACCGCUCCUGGGAAGCAACCAGCCAUUGGAUGCCAGCACAUGCCUCACGACUUUUGUAAGGCGUCUUUGCUGACAGAAGGAGACAUCACAGAUACUUUCCAGUACUGCUACAGAGACUCGAACAACCGCAGCAAGAUUCAUUCAUCAUGUGCCACUUACAACUCAAUCCAGUCAUGCGCCAUCGAGGAAAUGGUCCACAACCAAGGAGAGAGCGGAACUAUGCCCCAACAUUUCAAAUAACGACACAGCAAGGGGAAAAUGUGGAGGUGUGCUCCGGAAGAUUCAGAUCCAUCCUUGUACUUAGUAGGAAACGUCUGGGCAACCUAAUGAAGUACGCCUGCCAUUCAAAAUUACAGAGGCCAAACGCAUCUACAUGAGACCAGCUCCAGCCCCAGUCACUGUCGCCAAGUAUUAUAGUGCACCUGGAGAUGAGUACACCAUAUUGAAGAGAGGAAAGAGAUGGAGUACUCUUCUGGUCAAUCAGCUCCAAUUGUUAAGCUGUGUAAAGCCAGCGAAGCAGCGUGAUGUAGCAAAUCUUCUACGAGCGAUGGGGGUGGAGCUACAAGUGGACCCGCUAGUAGGGUAUGGGCCACGCAACUUCAUUCAGGAAGUAGGUGCUUUUUACAAAGAGGUGUGCGCGCCUUCUGAUGCAAUGGACGUAGACAGUGAUGAGGACGAAGGCAUCGUUGCUGCCUAUGAAGAUUGACAUUUGAUUCCAUGCCUUUUACACAGUUAAUGGAUCAGUUUAAACUAUUCAAUUCAAGAACAGAGAAGGCUUCUAAAAUGUGCAUUCAUUGAGCAGUGCAAUUGGAAUCAAAUCCCGUUUUAUUACCCAUGUAUGCAUUUUGUUGUAAGUAGCGCUGGUAAUUAUUAAUGCAAAUUUACUAAACCAGAAUGCAUGCACACAGAUAAUUAAUAUUUGGCGCUUUGCUACUUUCACUGUAUAAUAACAACUAAUUGAUUGUGGCUAAUCUCACAACUUUACAGUAGAUUGCAGGCCUACUGAUAUUGUAUGGGUAGAGUUUUAUUGCUCCUACUUCCAUUAGGAUGUUAAGAAACAAUUAUUCAAAUAAUAUGUAUGCAUAAUCAGCACUCAAGUAUGUCUUUUAUCUGCUGUUUAUGAGGAGUGAG
This 1259-nucleotide long non-coding RNA is filed under the name Strongylocentrotus purpuratus (purple sea urchin). RNAcentral's name for it is "uncharacterized LOC105440105". The record is from RNAcentral. Lineage: Eukaryota; Metazoa; Echinodermata; Echinoidea; Camarodonta; Strongylocentrotidae.